This 159-nucleotide non-coding RNA is filed under the name uncultured Extibacter sp. RNAcentral's name for it is "Lysine riboswitch". It matches the Rfam family "Lysine riboswitch aptamer". From Rfam's summary of the family: Riboswitches are metabolite binding domains within certain messenger RNAs that serve as precision sensors for their corresponding targets. Allosteric rearrangement of mRNA structure is mediated by ligand binding, and this results in modulation of gene expression. Lineage: Bacteria; Bacillati; Bacillota; Clostridia; Lachnospirales; Lachnospiraceae. The record is from RNAcentral.
UGAUAGAGGCGCGGUUUUCAUAAGUAAUCCAGUACGAUAGUCCGGGAGACUGUACUGGGUGGAAGGGAAGACUGCCGAAGGGUGUGCAUAUCCCGUGUGCACAUUCUGGGACGCGUGCAGAAGAUGCCGCGGACUGUCACAUCAGUGGAGCGCUAUCAG